This 945-nucleotide ribosomal RNA is filed under the name uncultured bacterium. RNAcentral describes it as "bacterial SSU rRNA". It matches the Rfam family "Bacterial small subunit ribosomal RNA", at positions 202 to 1139 of the family's 1533-position model. The record is from RNAcentral.
GGUGCUGGGCCUCGUGCGAUCGGAUGAGCCUGCGUUGGAUUAGCUGGUUGGUGGGGUAAGAGCCUACCAAGGCGACGAUCCAUAGCUGGUCUGAGAGGACGACCAGCCACACCGGGACUGAGACACGGCCCGGACUCCUACGGGAGGCAGCAGUGGGGAAUAUUGGACAAUGGGCGCAAGCCUGAUCCAGCAAUGCCGCGUGUGUGAAGAAGGCCUGCGGGUUGUAAAGCACUUUCAGUCGGGAGGAAAAGGGGUUGGCGAACAGCCGGUCCGUGUGACGUAACCGACAGAAGAAGCACCGGCUAACUCCGUGCCAGCAGCCGCGGUAAUACGGAGGGUGCGAGCGUUAAUCGGAAUUACUGGGCGUAAAGGGCGCGUAGGCGGCCGGAUCAGUCAGAUGUGAAAGCCCCGGGCUCAACCUGGGAACGGCAUUUGAUACUGUCCGGCUGGAGUUUGAUAGAGGGGAGUGGAAUUUCCGGUGUAGCGGUGAAAUGCGUAGAGAUCGGAAGGAACACCAGUGGCGAAGGCGACUCCCUGGAUUAAAACUGACGCUGAGGUGCGAAAGCGUGGGUAGCAAACAGGAUUAGAUACCCUGGUAGUCCACGCUGUAAACGAUGAGAACUAGCCGUUGGACGCGAUAAAGUGUUUAGUGGCGCAGCAAACGCGAUAAGUUCUCCGCCUGGGGAGUACGGCCGCAAGGUUAAAACUCAAAUGAAUUGACGGGGGCCCGCACAAGCGGUGGAGCAUGUGGUUUAAUUCGAUGCAACGCGAAGAACCUUACCUGCCCUUGACAUCCGGAGAGCCGGGCAGAGAUGUCUGGGUGCCUUCGGGAACUCCGAGACAGGUGCUGCAUGGCUGUCGUCAGCUCGUGUCGUGAGAUGUUGGGUUAAGUCCCGUAACGAGCGCAACCCUUAUCCUUAGUUGCCAGCGGUUUGGCCGGGAACU